This 94-nucleotide transfer RNA is filed under the name Methylobacterium iners. Its description in RNAcentral is "tRNA-Ala". Lineage: Bacteria; Pseudomonadati; Pseudomonadota; Alphaproteobacteria; Hyphomicrobiales; Methylobacteriaceae. The record is from RNAcentral.
GCGGCGCUGGAAGGCGCGGGCGAUGAAGUCGUCGUCGGCACCGACGAAGUGGAGCACCUCCACGACCUCGCGGUUCCCCGCCAUGGCGCCCCGC